This 682-nucleotide long non-coding RNA is filed under the name Sorghum bicolor (sorghum). RNAcentral's name for it is "long non-coding RNA (SBIC_LNC013952)". Lineage: Eukaryota; Viridiplantae; Streptophyta; Magnoliopsida; Poales; Poaceae. The record is from RNAcentral.
CUGUGUAGACCCUAAGGAACUAGUCAUGCAGUUAAAGUCAAUAUUAUGUGCUCUCCAUCCAUUGAUUUUAGCUACUUAUAUCCUCAGAAGUAUGCAACCACUUACAUCCACCACAUUCACUAUGUGCUACUUCUGUUCCUAGAAGUACCACCCACAUAUAUGCACUACACUCUGUGCUAUUUCUAUCCUAGAGAUACGCACCUAUGCUACUCCUACCCUAGGAGUACGCAUUCACCCAUUCACGUUCCACAUCCACUUAGAAAAUGUUCUACUCCUACAGUGGGAGAAGGCACCCAAAAAUAUUCAUUAUGUCUUAUUCUACUUAUCUAAUAAAGCUCUAGUUAUUCCAGUUGAUACUCCCUAUUGUUAUCGAUGUAUUAAAAGGAUUGGCUGAUCUUUAAAAAAAAAGAAAAUAAAGUGGACACAAGUCCCAAACGAAAAGAAAGACAACCAAGUCCUUAUUUUUAGAUUAGGGAGGUAUGUUAUCCCCAAGGAGCAAUUGUAGAAUUAGAUAUUCACCAUCAGUUAUCACCCCUCAUUAUCACCAUCAUUCUUAUCAUUCACUUCAUUCAUUGCACUCACAUGCACAUAUGACUUGAUUAUAUAAUUAGUUUCACUGGAUCCAUGGUUUAACUAUGCAACACAUGCAAGUAGGUUUGAAUUGUCUUUCCCACCUAUGAGC